RNAcentral lists this ribosomal RNA (433 nucleotides) under uncultured bacterium. RNAcentral describes it as "partial 16S ribosomal RNA". It matches the Rfam family "Bacterial small subunit ribosomal RNA", at positions 29 to 507 of the family's 1533-position model. The record is from RNAcentral.
AACGAACGCUGGCGGCAUGCCUAACACAUGCAAGUCGAACGAGACCUUCGGGUCUAGUGGCGCACGGGUGCGUAACGCGUGGGAACCUGCCCUUAGGUUCGGAAUAACUCCCCGAAAGGGGUGCUAAUACCGGAUAAUGUCUUCGGACCAAAUAUUUAUCGCCUUUGGAUGGGCCCGCGUUGGAUUAGCUAGUUGGUAGGGUAAAAGCCUACCAAGGCGACGAUCCAUAGCUGGUCUGAGAGGAUGAUCAGCCACACUGGGACUGAGACACGGCCCAGACUCCUACGGGAGGCAGCAGUGGGGAAUAGUGGACAAUGGGCGAAAGCCUGAUCCAGCAAUGCCGCGUGAGUGAUGAAGGCCUUAGGGUUGUAAAGCUCUUUUACCCGGGAUGAUAAUGACAGUACCGGGAGAAUAAGCUCCGGCUAACUCCGUG